UCAUCACCCCUGCAUCCUACAGCCUCUCCUGGCAUGCUCUCCUUUCUAGCCUGAAAUUCCUCCCAUUGUUGUCACCAGUGACUCCAGCACCCAAGGAAGGAGAAGAAUGUUUUCCCAGGAAGCUUCUGUGGAAAAGUCUGAGUUUGCCUAUGAAACAAGGAGCCGUGUAAUUCUUCCUGACAGCCACCUAUUUAAAAUGAAAGUCAAACACUCAGAAUUUUGUUUAAGAGUUGAGUCUUGGGGAGAAAAUGCAUUAAUUGCUAAACGUUGCUAAUUUCACUCUGAUGUGGUAACAAAAAGAAUGAAUCUCCAUACAUACACACAAGAGGACCAGUGACACCAGCGUUGGGGCAAGGACGGCAGUCAGAAUGUCAGAGCCAGAGGUCCGUCUCAGAGCUUGUGCGGUGAAACCCCUCCCUCAUUUCACAGAUGAGGACACUGAGGUCCAGAGAGGUUAAGUGACUUGCUGAAGGUUGUCCCAGCCUAGGCGGCAGGUCCAAGGCUGACUGACACCCACAGGCUUGAGUGGCCUCCUUGCAGCAGCUGGUUGAUCCCAGGAAAACAGAAGCCGCGCAUUCCUUCCGCAUAUCGGCACUCAGGCCAUCUGGGGUGCUGCCCGCCCUGCAGGGCUGCUGUGUUUCAAGUGCUGCCUGCCGGGGGUCCCUGUGCCAGACAAGCGGCCUGCAGAGACCCUCCUCCGAGGCUGGAGAUCUGUGCCUCGGUAACCAGGACAGUGGGCACAGACCCACUGAGCCACCAUCUGUGACAGCUGAGCUGUGAGACACAGGUGCCAAGGGCCUUUGUCGGCGAGCACGACUGCCGUCCGCGGGCCAGAGCCGGGGAGAGUGCCCGGCUGGGCAGGCAAGGCAGCUUGCGUGGGCUCCAGCCCUGGUCUAAGGUGCCUCUACAGCCUCCUGGUGAAGAAAGGCUGCUUGGCCCGAAGCCGUGGGUGUGUGGGCCCCACUGUGAAUGGAUGGAGCAUUAUUUCUGAACUCAGACGGCUAUCGGUUCAAAUCCCUUCUUCGCGGGGCACACGCGGUGAGCUGUUUCAACCUCUCUCUGUUUCUGAUCCUGCCUCUGGCCAGUGUGAUUCACAGCAUUGAUCAGGCAGAGUUUGGGGGCCAGUGAAUGCGUGCCACGUACCAGCCCAAGCGCCACAAAGGCGGCCGAGGCUUAGACCAGCAAGCACAAAACAGGGGCCCGAGGGCCUUGCUCAGCCACAGACGUCUUUGCAGGCCUGCAUGUGCAAUUCUACAAAUGUGAUUUGAAGGCACCCUGGCCAGGGCCUGAGCUCCCUGUAUGUCCUGAACCCACCGCCCCACGUCGGCUCACAGCCAGCCACUUCAUUCGUGUGACUCUCCUGAUUUUCCAGCCCUGAAGGGAUCCUUUCUGUCUCGCGCCAAAAGAUGCUUGUUCACCUCCUCUCCCGCUCCCACCAAAGCGCCAUGUCUUUUCCAUCCCAGCUCUGGUAACAUGGCCAGACCACGUCCAGUUUCCCACUCAACUGGGAGCACCUAGAGGGCAGGGGCCAUGUCAUAUCCCUACAUGAGCAGAUGUGGGCUCCAGGAGAUGCAGUCAUGCAACAAACGGGUUGCAUCUAGGGUCCAGGGACAUAGCUGUGAAUAAUUUUGAGAAGGGCCAAACCUGGGCUUAUGCCAGUGGGAGAGCUGAACAACUGCAUAAAUCAGCAAGAUUUGUAAGAAGAAGAAGGUAAAAAAAAAAAAAAAAAGGUAAUAAGGUGAUGCACUUGACCAGCGAGUGAGUGAGUGAGUGAGUGAAUAAAGGAGCAAAUAGUAAGAAUGGAAAUUUCAAUUUAACAACACAGGGACACUGGAUAGCCCCAAACAGGAAGAAAGGGGAACAAGGCUCAGUGAGGAACUGAAUCUUCAAGUUGAAUGGUUCAGCUCAUUCUUUUUAUCCACAAUUCGGCCCCUUGUGCCCACCCCCACUGCUACCUCCCUGGGCCAAGUUCUCAUCUUCUCUUGCCCACACUAUUGCAGUAGCGUCAUGGCUACUGUCCCCUGUCCUGCCUCUGAUCCCUCUGUAGUCAGCUGCCAACACAGUAGCCACAAUGUGAAAGUCAGAAUCAUUCCUCUACGCAAAACCCUAAUAGCUCACAUCAUUCUAAGGGAAAGGCAAGGUCAUUCCAUGUCAGGCCCUAUGUGACCGACCUGAGCCCCAGCACCUCCUUGUCCUCUUUCCUUCCUCACUCUGCUCCAGUCGCAGCGGUCUCCUUGUGGUUCCUGGAAAUGCCAGGAACAUUCCUGCCCCAGGACCUUUGCACAUAUGGUGCCUCUGCCUGGAAUGCUUUCCCCUCAGAUAACCACAACAGCUCCUGCCUUCAUUCCUUUAGGUGUUUGCUCAAGUGUCAUCUUCUCAGUGAGACCUUCCCUGGCUAUGCCAUCUGAAAUGCCAGCACCCCCUUGCAGUUGUUACUCACCCCUGCUUUAUACUUCUUUCUUAGUGGCUAUCAUCUUCUGAUCUAUUAUAUAUUUGACUACCUUAUCUUGUUUAUCAUUUGGCUUUCCCAUGGAUUUCUAUCUGAUCCAUUCACCCCAACAUCUAACACGGUGCCUGGCACACAGAAGCUCCAUAAAUUGGUGUUGGAAAAAUAAGUGAUCUUAACGAUGGGUUAACAGAGGGGCCCAGGCAGGGAGGGAGCAAGUCACAGCAUGACACCGGAAUUCCCAGGGAGCCGGAGGAACAGUUGCCUCUCACCUUCUGUUUCCUCCACUCCAAUGGAGUGUCAGAAGCUGGGUUCCUCCAUGAAUGGGGACUGACUCAGCAUGGAGGAGGUGGCCACCAGGGAGCAGGCUUACUGAGAUGUGGGCAUGAGGGCAUCUUUCUGGGGAAAGGAGGCAGCCACCUGCCCUGUCUGCCAUCCCACAGAACCCCCAGCCCCACCUACCUAAAAUUUCCUUCUGUCUACACAGCAACCCCACUUUGAGAUGGGAGGAGGGGCAGUUUAGUAGUUCCAACCUCCUCCCUCCCCGCCUUCCCCCAACCGGGCGCUGCUGGGACCCUUGGUAACUGCAGCCUGCACUCCUGUCGCCUGAACCAAGUGACCAGUCUGCUACCUUGGGAUCCUUCCUUGGCUGCUCAUUGCCCUCACAAUCAAGCUCCAAGUCCUUAGCUUUCAGAGCCCCUGGACCUGUCCCUCACGGUCUCUUGGGUCCUGCUGCUCCUGGGCAAGCCUGGAAGUCUGCCCGUGUCUUGCAGGUCCUGAGAGAAAGCCUGUGGCUCGCUGCCCCUGAGCCUACGCACCUGCUGUGCCCCAGCCAGAAUGCUAGGCCCAUCCUAGUUGAAGCUCACACAACACCAACAUUGACCACACUAAUUCUAGCUGGAUCAGACAGUGCUGAAGCUGACAGCUCAGGUUCAAGUCCCAUUUCUGCCAUCUCCUAGCUGACAGCCUUGGGGAUGUCACCCAACUUCUCUGUGCUCAGUCUCCCCAUCUAUAACAGGAGCAUGCUACUGCUCCCCACUUUUAAGUAUGGUGAGGAGACAACACAAGAUCAUGCCUGGCCUGGCCUGACUGGUGUCACGAUAAGCAAGCAAAUGCUAAAAGGCGCAAGAAAGGGGAGGAGGGCGAAGCAUCAACCACUGUGCAUUGAGUGCCACACACACAACAUCCUAUUCUAAUCCACUCAUGAGCCCAGUAAAGAACAUGCUAUUAUUGCUCUCAUUUUCCAAAUAAGAAACAGGGCUGUACCUGGGGUCUUCUCAGCCCUCUGCAGAGAAGGGUAGGGGAUACACCAGCUCAGAAGAAAAACUACCUAAAAGCAGUUGUCUUUUCGAUGUGUCUACUGCCAAGUUUCUGCCAGACUUUUUUAAAAAUUUAUUUAUUUUGAGGGAGAGAGAGAGAAAGCGUGAGUCAGGGAGGGGCAGAGAAAGAGGGAGAGAGAGAGAAUCCCAAGCAGGCUCUGUGCUGUCAGCUCAGAGCCCACGCCAGGCUUGAACCCAGGACUCAUGAGAUCACGACCUGAGCCGAAGUUGGACACUUAACCAACUGAGCCGCCCAGGCGUCCCUCUGCCAGACACUUUAAGUGCAGGACCUCACAUCCUCAAGACAGCCGUCUGGUAAUUUACAGAUGAGGCCAUCGAGACCUCAGAGACUCGCCCGGGAUUGCCCGGCGAGCAAGCAGCAGGUCUGGCUGGCUCCAGAUGCUGUGGUCUUUCUGGAAUAGUGUCCCGGCCAUGGAACUGCACCGCUGGCUCGGCUCUCCCUUCCCGAGAGAAUCUGUCCGGAGGAGAGCAGUGAGUUGACGGUGUCCAGCCUCUUGGCCUUCAGAACCCACCGAGGCAGUAGGACGAGGCCACACUCCACGAGCCAAAGGCGGAGUGCGGCAGUGGCACUGGGGGCUGGCCAUUUCUGAUCAAUGCAGGACACCUCUGCGGGGGGUCUGUCUACAGGGAGUUCCCCGCUAGGCUGGCAAGACUCUCCCAGAGCUGUGCUGCAAGCGAAGGCCUCUCUCUCUCUCUCUCUCUCUCUCUCGCUCCUCUCAGAAGGCUCAGAGCUGCACUGGGGUCUAGGGCUCUUCCACCAUGCGUGUUCCUUCCCUCCCUUUCCACGGGCACCCCCUGCAAUAAAUCCCUUGCACUUCUCACCCCUUCGUCUUGGCCUCGGCUUUCCAGGGACCCCAGCUGACGCCACACAUCAUCUUUCACCCACACUGGAAGGAAGACUCCUCAGGUACGGACAUGCACGGAACAGCAGGCGAGGGUGGGUACGCAGUGUUUCUGUGAUCCCAAGAGUAGAGGGGCCCCUGAUGGCCGGAGUCUGGAGCCUUCUGGCCAGGAGCACAGCAGCUUUUCCUCCUUCCUCAGGGGAGAGCAAGCAGGCUGAGAAUCAGAGUUAGUGCCCUUGUACCACCUCCUUAUGCUCUCUGGGCUUCAGUCUUCCUCAUCUGUGAAACAGGCAUGCUGAUACCUAAGCCACCACAUUGUCUUGAGAACCACAGAAAGUGUAUUUAAGAAAAAAAAUUUUUUUU
Long non-coding RNA from Acinonyx jubatus (cheetah), 4991 nucleotides. RefSeq lists it as uncharacterized. The record is from RefSeq and is a predicted model, not a curated record. Lineage: Eukaryota; Metazoa; Chordata; Mammalia; Carnivora; Felidae. The transcript is spliced from 2 exons.